CCAUGCCUCAGGCACUAGCAGAGGGUGAACUGCCUGUGACACCCUUGCAGUGCCCGACCUGCUGUCCCUGAGUGGAGCCGGGUCUCUGUC
Cavia aperea (Brazilian guinea pig) is the source of this 90-nucleotide microRNA precursor. The record is from Ensembl. NCBI's taxonomy places the organism in Eukaryota, Metazoa, Chordata, Mammalia, Rodentia, Caviidae.